GUUAUGAAGGUAUAUAUGUAUACUGAGUUAUAUACUACACCCACCCACACACACACACGCACUGACACUGACACUGACACUCACACUCACACUCACACUCACUCACACUCACACUCACACACUCACAUUCACUUACACUCACACUCAUACUCACAGAUGUAUAUAUUACACAUAUAUGUGUGUUGUGUAUGGACUAAUGUGUGUAUAUAUAUACACAUAUAUAUGAUAUGUAUAUACUAUGUAUACAGUUGCUUGCUUUUAGUUAUCUACAAUUAUCAAAGUAUAUACGCACGUAUAUGUGCACGAAUGUACAUUCCAUGUACUUAUUAGUAGUUUAUAUUUAUAUAUAGUGUGUAUAGACACGAUAUCCAUAUACUGAUAUGCUUAUACGUUUAUGUAUAAACUUGCUUUCAAUGAUAUAUGCACUGAUAUACAUACACAUAUGCACCCUUACGCAUUGAUAAUGCUUACAUAUAUUUCUAUAUAGACAGAUAUAAAUGACCAUAUGGACACUUUUUAUCAGUUUUUAUAGUUAUUAGCGUAUAUAUACACUGAUAUGUAUAUACGUACACUCAUAUUCAUGUGUUUAAGGGGUUUAUAUAUACACUAAUGUAUAAGACCAUGUAUAUACUUAUUGUUAGUGAUAUAUACAGUUAUUAGCACAAUUUGUUUACGUAUUGAUGUAUACUGUUGUUUUCGGUGUGUAUAUAUAUAUUGAUGCAUAUAACCAUACAAUACAUUAGUUAAUAAUAUGCAUAAAAUACAAUACGUAUAUACUGAUAGGUGUGUAUAUGUAAACUGCAUAUCUGUUUAUAUACACUGCACUAAUAUAUAGUUUUUAACAUACAUUGAUGUGUAUGACCAUAUAUACACUAUUUAUCAGUUUAUACGGUUAUGAACGUAUAUGUACACUGAUUUAUAUGGCACACACUCACACUCACACUCACACUGACACUCAUACUCACAUACACACUCACACUAACACUCAUACUCACACUCACACCGACACUCAUACUCACACACAGUCACACGCACACACUCACUCACACACACUCACACUCACUCAUUCAUACACACUCACACUCACUCAUUCACACUUACACACGUAGACACUCACACCCACACUCACACUUACACUUACACUUACAUUCACUCACUCACACCCACACUCACACUUACACUUAUACUUACAUUUGCAUUCACUCACACACACACCUCACACACACACAAUCACACUAACACUCACACUCUCAGAUAUAUAUACUACACAUAUGUGCGUGUUAUAUAUUGACUGAUGUGAGUAUAUAUAUAAACUGAUGCAUUUAACCUUUCAAUAUACAUUGAUAUAUGCACUUAUUAUCAGUUUUUACAAUUAUCAACGUAUAUGUACCCUGAUUUAUAUAGUACACACCACACACUUACACUUACACAUACACUCACACUCACUCACACUCACACUUACACACAUACAUACACAUUCACACUCACACUCACACUCACCCUCAAAUAUAUAUACUGCACAUAUAUGGGUGUUGUGUGUGGAGUAAUGUGUAUAUUUAUAUGAUAUGUAUAAACUGAUAUGUUUAUGUAUGUAUGUAUACAGUUGCUUUUUAUCUGUUGUUAUGUACAAUUAUCAAUGUAUAUACACUGCUACGUGCAUGCACAUGCACCCUUACGCUAAUGUGUAUAUAUAUACGAUAUGUAUGUACUGAUAUGUUUAUGCGUGUAUGUUAUAUUUGCUUGCUAUCAAUUAGAUACAAUUAUCAAAGUAUAUAUACAUUGGUAUACACAUCCAGGCACCUGUAGGCGUUAAGUGCAUCUAUACUGUGUAUGUGUACAUUAAUAGAUGCAUUCUAUAGACACUGAUAUAUAUGAUCAUAUAGAUAUGUAUUUGCUGAUUAUAUAUAUAUAGUGUGUAUAUAUGCGAUGUAUAUACUGAUAUAGUUAUACGUGUAUGUAUAAGUUGCUUUCAUUUUUAUAUACACUGAUAUGCGCAUACAUAUGCAUCCUUAUGCAUUUCAUAUAUUUCGAUUUACACUAAUAUAUUCAUAUACAAUUAUUAGCGUAUAUGUACACUGAUAUGUAUAUACGCACACUCAAAUACAUAUGUACAAACGGUUUAUAUAUACACUAAUGUAUAAGACUACAUAUAUACUUAUUAUCAAUGAUAUAUACAAUUAUUAGCACAAUUGGUGUACGUAUUGAUGGAUAGCAAUAUAUACCAUUGUGUUCAGUGUAUAUAUAUAUACUGAUGCAUAUA
Molecule: long non-coding RNA, 2260 nt
Filed under: Amborella trichopoda
Lineage: Eukaryota; Viridiplantae; Streptophyta; Magnoliopsida; Amborellales; Amborellaceae
Description: long non-coding RNA (ATRI_LNC000532)
Source: RNAcentral